UAGUAACAGUGUAAAUCGGGGGCUGAGGGGCUAGUACAAAGAUCAAUUGUCUGUGGCCCCUGGGGCCAGGACGAGAAGUAACGGGGCUUAAUCUGCAGCCAGGGAGCUUUGGGUUAGAUCCAAGAUAAAACUUUUUUUUAACUUUUAAGGGAAGUUGAACUGUGCAACAGGUGUCGAAGGGAGAGCCUGGUGUCCCUGCCAUUGGAGGGUUUUAAGACCGGGUUGGACCAGAACCUGUCGGGGGUGGCCUAGGGUAACUCAGUCCUGCCUCAGCGUUAAGGGGCUGGUCUUGAGGAUGUCUCAAGAUCCCCUACAUCCCUGCAUUUCUGUGAUACGAAAGGGGUGAGGAGAGGCUGCUUAGGACUCGUGAACUGUGUGUGACAGAACCCGGUUUGUGCAUGAGAUCAGCAUGCCCAGUAGAGGUUUAUGUCUGUGACAAUUGUUUUCCACUAUGGACAUCGUCAGUGAAUAUUCUUCUGAGAUUAGAAUGUAUGCACAAUAGGCUUAAUCCUCAGAGCAAGCCUGUGAUUGACUGCCUACCUGGAGCCAUUAUGAUGUGUUUAUCAUGAGUCCAAGCUACUUCAGCAACUGUAUAAGUGUUUCCUUCAGCUCUCUCUCUGUACAGCACCCUGACCAGCAAAAUAUCCAGGAAGAAAUAGGAGUCAAGCUCCUUCUUCCUUAAACCCAGUAUUAAUACAUGAUCUGGGCUCAUGCUGACAUUUCAUACAUGGGAGGGAGAUGAGGUGACACCUGCUUGGAUGUGGCUGCCUGUAAAAGGCCUGUUUAACGAAGAGGCCAUUCCUUUCAGGUAAAAAAGGAAAAUCCUCUUUGAAACACUGAGUCCCUCACAACCAGGGAUGAUAGCUAUGUUUAUCUUUAGUUGGGACUCCGCUGGGGUAGCAGAUAAAACCAGAAGGAACUUCAAGGAGAGCCAGUGACAGACAGCCUAGAAGCAACAUAAUGUAUUUUUUUUAAAUU
This is a long non-coding RNA of Gopherus evgoodei (Goodes thornscrub tortoise), 978 nucleotides long. RefSeq lists it as uncharacterized. NCBI's taxonomy places the organism in Eukaryota, Metazoa, Chordata, Testudines, Testudinidae. The record is from RefSeq and is a predicted model, not a curated record. The transcript has 3 exons.